UCUAAUUGGGUUUCUGAGUGGACGUCCAGUUUAUUGAUUCCCAGCGCUGGAAUUCAAGCAAUCCACUGUGCCAGCCAAAACAACGGCGUUAAGACUGGUGGUGCUCUUCUGCCUGGGAAUCUCCUCCCAUUUACUCUGCACAAAGAGCUGCCGCGCGGAGGCACCGGCAAAACCGCUGUGCUGGCCACAAGAGUCGUGCUGGUGACCUGGGGGGCUCCUCCACUGGGGAUCUUCUGGUCCGUGAGCGACGAAAAUUCAUCUGAAAGUGUGGCGUCCUCUCAUUCUCUGCGCUUUCACUGGGAGCUGCAAUCUCGAGCUGUUAGCGAUCAGCCAUCUUGGAUCAAUCACCAUCUUAGUUUAAACCUCAGCUCUGUGACUUGCUGUGUGCCCUGAGCCUUAUAGGGUUGCAUAUAUUAAAUGAGUUAACAUACACAACGAGUUUGGAACAAACAGUGCCUGGCAUGUUAUAAAUGCUUUAUAAGUCCCAAGCUGAAUUCAUUUUUAUUAUUAUUACCAUCUAAUGAAGAUGAACAAGAUAGAAAGGGAUACAACAGAUAGUAUAUGUUUAUAUUUACUUUCUUUAUUUCCACAUUCCAGCUUCUUCCAACAUAUUUCCAAUUGUGGAAUAGACCUUUAUCAAUGACAAAUUUGUAAUAAUUUACAAUUACAAAGCAAUCAUUACAAUAGUGACUAUUUCUCUUAAAUUCAUGGUCUUUGAAUGCAAGAGUAAGGUUUGCUUCUCUUAUACUUUGUUCAUAUUAUAGAUUUGCAAGAAAGCUUCUUGGAUAUAAUAAGGCCAAUUUCCAAAGCAAAGGCAGUCUUAUUUGGCUGCAUUUAAUCUGGUUUGUGUGAUAUCAGACAAUCUGACAUACCAACAGAUGAAAGGCACACUCCUGUCUCUUUAGGAAACAAUAUACUCACUGAAUUUUAUUUCUUUUCUAGCUUUGUUUCAAAUGUUGAGAAAGAACUAUUUUUGGAUUAUUUUUUAAAAACUGUAUAUUUGAGAAAAGUUCUACCACCUUUGUUAAUACUCUGUACCUGUAGCAGAAAGAAAAUGGGUGGGGGUGGGAAGAAGGGGAAAAUGUAUAUGUAGCAGAAUGACAAAGAGAAUGUUUGAAGAUAGUUAAUAAUUUGUAAGUUCAUCUAAUCAUUCACUUUUCAAUGACCCUUUUGAAAACAGCAUACAUCAUAUCUAUUCAACAAUGAUCUCAAGAAAUUCAAAUUACAAAUAUACUUACACAAUAGCCAAAGUAUUUUAUCUCCUCAUGACUCAUGAUUAAUUGGUUCAUUCAUUCUUUCUGUUAAUACUUAUUUAAUGAACAUCUAAUAAUAUGCCAAGCACUGUGAAUACCCUGGUGAAAAGGGAAACAUAGUCCUCACUUUGAUAGCAUUCAUAUUGUAUUGGGAAAGAUGAUACAGAGAUAAGCAGUCACUCAGUUACCAUUUUGAUGCAUACUACAUACAAAUUAUAGGAUAUUAUGAGAUAUACUAUCAAAACAUGCUUCCUUUUUUUUUCUUUUUAGAGACAGGUUCUUGCUCUGCUGUCCAGGCUGGAAUGCGGUGGUAUAAUCAUAGCUCACUGAAGCCUUGAACUUCUGGGCUCAAGCGAUCCUUCAAUCUCAGCUUUCUGAGUAAGCUGGGACUACAGACACAUGCCAUGACACCCAGCUAAUUUAUUUUUUGUAGAUAUGGGACCUCACUUUGUUGCGCAGGAU
Callithrix jacchus (white-tufted-ear marmoset) is the source of this 1715-nucleotide long non-coding RNA. The record is from Ensembl. NCBI's taxonomy places the organism in Eukaryota, Metazoa, Chordata, Mammalia, Primates, Cebidae.